AACGUAGGUGGCGAGCGUUAUCCGGAUUUACUGGGCGUAAAGCGUGUGCAGGUGGCCUGUUAAGUGGUGUAUGAAAUCGCCCGGCUCAACCGGGCGGGGUUAUGCCAGACUGGCAGGCUAGAGGGUGGGAGAGGGAUGUGGAAUUCCGGGUGGUAGUGGUGAAAUGCGUAGAGAUCCGGAGGAACCCCAGAGGCGAAGGCGGCAUCCUGGCCCACGACUGACACUCAGACACGACAGCAUGGGGAGCGAACGGG
This 254-nucleotide ribosomal RNA is filed under the name uncultured bacterium. RNAcentral describes it as "partial 16S ribosomal RNA". It matches the Rfam family "Bacterial small subunit ribosomal RNA", at positions 524 to 776 of the family's 1533-position model. The record is from RNAcentral.